GGGGCGGUUAAUGGGAUGACAGCACAUGCAGUCGAACGAUGAUCCGGUGCUUGCACCGGGGAUUAGUGGCGAACGGGUGAGUAACACGUGAGUAACCUGCCCUUAACUCUGGGAUAAGCCUGGGAAACUGGGUCUAAUACCGGAUAUGACUCCUCAUCGCAUGGUGGGGGGUGGAAAGCUUUUUGUGGUUUUGGAUGGACUCGCGGCCUAUCAGCUUGUUGGUGAGGUAAUGGCUCACCAAGGCGACGACGGGUAGCCGGCCUGAGAGGGUGACCGGCCACACUGGGACUGAGACACGGCCCAGACUCCUACGGGAGGCAGCAGUGGGGAAUAUUGCACAAUGGGCGCAAGCCUGAUGCAGCGACGCCGCGUGAGGGAUGACGGCCUUCGGGUUGUAAACCUCUUUCAGUAGGGAAGAAGCGAAAGUGACGGUACCUGCAGAAGAAGCGCCGGCUAACUACGUGCCAGCAGCCGCGGUAAUACGUAGGGCGCAAGCGUUAUCCGGAAUUAUUGGGCGUAAAGAGCUCGUAGGCGGUUUGUCGCGUCUGCCGUGAAAGUCCGGGGCUCAACUCCGGAUCUGCGGUGGGUACGGGCAGACUAGAGUGAUGUAGGGGAGACUGGAAUUCCUGGUGUAGCGGUGAAAUGCGCAGAUAUCAGGAGGAACACCGAUGGCGAAGGCAGGUCUCUGGGCAUUAACUGACGCUGAGGAGCGAAAGCAUGGGGGAGCGAACAGGAUUAGAUACCCUGGUAGUCCAUGCCGUAAACGUUGGGCACUAGGUGUGGGGGGACAUUCCACGUUUUCCGCGCCGUAGCUAACGCAUUAAAGUGCCCCGCCUGGGGGAGUACGGCCGCAAGGGCUAAAAACUCAAAGGAAGUUGAC
Molecule: ribosomal RNA, 880 nt
Filed under: bacterium SCS_30Z0_37_2
Lineage: Bacteria
Description: bacterial SSU rRNA
Rfam family: Bacterial small subunit ribosomal RNA
Source: RNAcentral